GCCGCGGUGGCGGAACUGGCAGACGCGCUGGACUUAGGAUCCAGUUCUUAAACAGAGUGCGAGUUCGACUCUCGCCCGCGGCA
RNAcentral lists this transfer RNA (83 nucleotides) under bacterium. RNAcentral describes it as "tRNA-Leu". It matches the Rfam family "tRNA". Rfam says of the family: Transfer RNA (tRNA) molecules are approximately 80 nucleotides in length. Their secondary structure includes four short double-helical elements and three loops (D, anti-codon, and T loops). Further hydrogen bonds mediate the characteristic L-shaped molecular structure. tRNAs have two regions of fundamental functional importance: the anti-codon, which is responsible for specific mRNA codon recognition, and the 3' end, to which the tRNAs corresponding amino acid is attached (by aminoacyl-tRNA synthetases). tRNAs cope with the degeneracy of the genetic code in two manners: having more than one tRNA (with a specific anti-codon) for a particular amino acid; and 'wobble' base-pairing, i.e. permitting non-standard base-pairing at the 3rd anti-codon position. The record is from RNAcentral.